CUCAACUAAAGCAUUUACUAGUCCCAGUAUAGGCGAUAGAAAAGACACCAUUGGAGCGAUAGAGACUACGUACCGUAAGGGAAAGAUGAAAUAGUAAUGAAAAAAUAAGCUAAAAACAGCAAAGAUCAACCCUUGUACCUUUUGCAUCAUGGUCUAGCAAGAAAAACCAAGCAAAAUGAAUUUAAGUUUGCCACCCCGAAACCCAAGCGAGCUACUUACGAGCAGCUAUUGUUGAGCGAACCCGUCUCUGUUGCAAAAGAGUGGGAUGACUUGUUAGUAGAGGUGAAAAGCCAAUCGAGCUGGGUGAUAGCUGGUUGCCUGUGAAACGAAUCUAAGUUCACUCUUAAUUCUUCUCCAAGGAACAUCAAAACCCUAAUGAAGCGAAUUAAGGGCUAUUUAAAGGGGGUACAGCUCCUUUAAAAAAGAAUACAAUCUCUACGAGCGGAUAAAUAAUUGUAAUACAAAAUUACUGUGGGCCCUCAAGCAGCCAUCAACAAAGAGUGCGUUAAAGCUCUGUACGACAAAAAUAUAAGAACUAUAUGACUCCCUCCCCAUUAACAGGCUAACCUAUGCCAAUAGGAGAAUUAAUGCUAGAAUGAGUAACCAGGGUUCUCCCUCUUCGACGCAAGCUUACAUCCGUACAUUAUUAACAAGCCACCAUAUACGA
This 667-nucleotide ribosomal RNA is filed under the name Phylloscopus fuscatus fuscatus. RNAcentral describes it as "partial 16S ribosomal RNA". It matches the Rfam family "Bacterial large subunit ribosomal RNA", at positions 215 to 1346 of the family's 2925-position model. Lineage: Eukaryota; Metazoa; Chordata; Aves; Passeriformes; Phylloscopidae. The record is from RNAcentral.